GGAUCAUGGCUCAGGAUGAACGCUAGCUACAGGCUUAACACAUGCAAGUCGAGGGGCAGCAUUUCAGUUUGCUUGCAAACUGGAGAUGGCGACCGGCGCACGGGUGAGUAACACGUAUCCAACCUGCCGAUAACUCGGGGAUAGCCUUUCGAAAGAAAGAUUAAUACCCGAUGGCAUAAUUAGACCGCAUGGUCUUAUUAUUAAAGAAUUUCGGUUAUCGAUGGGGAUGCGUUCCAUUAGG
This 241-nucleotide ribosomal RNA is filed under the name uncultured bacterium. Its description in RNAcentral is "partial 16S ribosomal RNA". It matches the Rfam family "Bacterial small subunit ribosomal RNA", at positions 14 to 245 of the family's 1533-position model. The record is from RNAcentral.